This is a non-coding RNA of Parcubacteria bacterium DG_74_2, 72 nucleotides long. NCBI's taxonomy places the organism in Bacteria, Candidatus Parcubacteria. The record is from Rfam.
GCCCCUAUAGCUCAAUGGAUAGAGCAGUGGCUUCCUAAGCCAUUGAUCUGGGUUCGACUCCCGGUAGGGGCA